UAUAACUUUUUGUUCUUGUUAUUUACUACUUCAAAAUUUGUUUACAAAUCGUGUUUUUACAAACACGGGCUUUAGCGAAAUGAUUGAUCGCUAGCAACAUGUGCAAGACGAUUUAGUUUGAAAUUAUAGUACAACACGUUACUCUAGGGGUUAAAGUUUCCGUUUUGACAAUGAUUAAUAGGUACAAACAUUAUUUUUUAAAAUUAUAAUUAUGAUGGAUAUCCCUUUAAACAAAAAGUAUCCGAACAUAAAGUGUUGUUCGAAACUCUCGCAUCCACAUCCCAAGAACCUUUUACCCAACAACUCGUUAAUUUAACACUGCCUAAAGUAACCGCAAACAUUUUAUCCCCGCAAUCAGUGUAAAUCAAGAGAAUAGCCACAGAAAGGAAUUGGUUUCGGCUAUAAAAUUCCAAGAAAAUUCAACAGUUCCACAAUAAAGUGUUAACGAACGAUAAAAAUACACCGUACUUAUAAAUCAAAACGUAUUUUGUAACAUUAUAUCUUCCUUUACUUAAAACUAUUUUAAAACUCAUCUGCGUCAUCAAAAUCCGCUCAUAAACGAGUAAUUACUCAUCAAAACUCACGUAGAAAGGAGGUCAUGCUAUGAUGUAAAUGGCUUUGUGUACAGUAGUAUGAUUGUUUUGUGGUUUUUAAAUCGAAUUCACACUCUUCAUAUAGAAAUUCCCUGUUCAAGUUGUUUAAGAAAUCAUGAGAUAAGGAUAAAGAAAAACAAGCGGAAACCGCAUUUGGUGAUUUAUGAUUUAAAAGGACGUGAAAAUCUGUUUCCUCAUUAGUAUUGAACGAACCUUGUCUUUGAGAAGUAUCAUAAGAAAUAAUGUUUGGAGUAAGAAUCUUUUUGGUGAUGCUGGUGUUAUUUUACGUCGUGUUUUUAAUGGAUGAGGUGGAAGGAAUAUUUCCUUUGUACCCUCGUUGCCCUAAAGGACAAAGAAGGAUUAAAAAACUGUGCCGAGAAGUGUUUUAAACAAUUAAUUACGAAUAAGUAUGUUAAUCAGAUUUUGUAAUUAACGAUUAAUUAUAAUAUAUUUGUUUAUUUAAAUCUA
Molecule: long non-coding RNA, 1061 nt
Organism: Onthophagus taurus
Lineage: Eukaryota; Metazoa; Arthropoda; Insecta; Coleoptera; Scarabaeidae
Source: RefSeq, a predicted model, not a curated record